This 631-nucleotide ribosomal RNA is filed under the name uncultured bacterium. Its description in RNAcentral is "bacterial SSU rRNA". It matches the Rfam family "Bacterial small subunit ribosomal RNA", at positions 75 to 704 of the family's 1533-position model. The record is from RNAcentral.
CUUGCAAUUUAUGAUGGCGACCGGCGCACGGGUGAGUAACGCGUAUCCAACCUACCCAUUACUAGGGAAUAACCCAGCGAAAGUUGGCCUAAUGCCCUAUGUAGUCGUUUGAUCGCCUGAGAUUUCGACGAAAGAUUUAUCGGUAUUGGAUGGGGAUGCGUCUGAUUAGCUUGUUGGCGGGGUAAAGGCCCACCAAGGCAACGAUCAGUAGGGGUUCUGAGAGGAAGGUCCCCCACAUUGGAACUGAGACACGGUCCAAACUCCUACGGGAGGCAGCAGUGAGGAAUAUUGGUCAAUGGGCGAGAGCCUGAACCAGCCAAGUAGCGUGCAGGAUGACGGCCCUAUGGGUUGUAAACUGCUUUUAUAUGGGAAUAAAGUGAGGGACGUGUCCCUUAUUGCAUGUACCAUACGAAUAAGGACCGGCUAAUUCCGUGCCAGCAGCCGCGGUAAUACGGAAGGUCCAGGCGUUAUCCGGAUUUAUUGGGUUUAAAGGGAGCGUAGGCUGUUUGUUAAGCGUGUUGUGAAAUGUAGGAGCUCAACUUUUAGAUUGCAGCGCGAACUGGCAGACUUGAGUGCGCACAACGUAGGCGGNNNUCAUGGUGUAGCGGUGAAAUGCUUAGAUAUCAUGACG